UUUUGAUUACGUCCCUGCCCUUUGUACACACCGCCCGUCGCUGCCCGGGACUGAGCCAUUUCGAGAAACUUGGAGACUGUUGAUCUAAUUUUUUUAAGUUACUUUGAUGGAAACCAAUUUAAUCGCAGUGGCUUGAACCGGGCAAAAGUCGUAACAAGGUAGCUGUAGGUGAACCUGCUGCUGGAUCAUUA
RNAcentral lists this ribosomal RNA (191 nucleotides) under Meloidogyne hapla. Its description in RNAcentral is "partial 18S ribosomal RNA". It matches the Rfam family "Eukaryotic small subunit ribosomal RNA", at positions 1639 to 1831 of the family's 1831-position model. Lineage: Eukaryota; Metazoa; Nematoda; Chromadorea; Rhabditida; Meloidogynidae. The record is from RNAcentral.